RNAcentral lists this long non-coding RNA (3468 nucleotides) under Coffea arabica (coffee). RNAcentral describes it as "long non-coding RNA (CARA_LNC002169)". Lineage: Eukaryota; Viridiplantae; Streptophyta; Magnoliopsida; Gentianales; Rubiaceae. The record is from RNAcentral.
UACGGGGAACUAAGAUUCGUGACUUGAUUUUCCUUUUUGUAGAGGAGGUACGAGCGUACUAAAACUAAAUAACCAUACUCGUUCAUUUCCCAUAUUAAAAGGGUGCUCCCUAACCUAAUCAAGCAAAUGAACUAAUUUAUUUCUAAUUUUUGUUAAAUGAAAUGCAAGUCUAAAUGUCAUGUUUCGUAAAUAGGGAUAAGAAAUAUACAUAUAGAGGAAAUAUCAUACAAAAUGAUAAAGAUCCUAAAAAGUAGAAAAUAUGUACGAAAUGUAGUGAUUGUCACGCAAACAUGAUCUAGCGCGUGAACAUUCCCUAAGGGUUUAGUAAUGGACUAACCCAUAGUUAUAAGUUCUCACUAGCGUUGGACUAGUGAAAAAUCGGAAAAAAGGGCCACAACUAACGUUGGAGUGUUGGACUAGUGUGGUGACGUCAUACAUUUAUUAUAACAUAAGAAAUCAUAUAAAUAUAAUUAUAGCAAGUAAACACAUAAGCACAUACACGUAAGCAUAAUAUCUAGAUGCAAAAAUCCUAAAAAAAGUGAAUAAACACAUAAGCACACAAGCAAAUAAACACACAUAAGGACUUAACUAUUACGUUUGGGGUUCUAACUACAAUCUAAAAGAGGGAAUUAAAAAUAAUAAUCUAACUAUUACAUUUAUCUAACUAAUUACAUUUAUGGCAAAAUUAAAAUCUAUCUAUUACAUUGUUUAGCUAAAUACAUGUCUUGAACAUCUAUCUAUUACAAUUUGACAUUUAAAUGCCUCUCAAAUAAUCACCAAAAUUAAAUAUAUAAAACUUGAAAUAAAUAAAACGAGUAAUUAAAUAAAUAAAUAAAACACUCAAGACAUGCAAUUACACAUAAAAUACAUAGGAGCACAUAAAAGAUUUUUUAAAAUAGUAAAAGAAAAUACCUCCCUUGAAGUAGUAGCUAAUUGGAGUUUGAUUUAGCUUAUUUAUACUUCAAAAUCAAUGAAAAUGUUAAGGCACCAAUUUAAUUAACAAAUAAAAAGAAUAACAUGUAAAGAAAUGAAAAAUAAUCAUGAAAUCUAUCAAUUAAAACAUUUAAAUGAAGUAUCAUUAACAAUUGAAAAAGAUAAUCAGCCUAUACUUAAGAAAUUAAAGUUAUUAGGGAUCUAAUUAUGAAAAUUAUAAAAGCUUUUGAGGUCAAAAUAUAAUUAUUAAAAAAUUUAGGGUCAAAAUUGAAAGAAAAAUUAAGUUUAGGGACCAAUUGCAAUUUAUAUAGGGACCUAAUUGAAAGAAAUUUAAAUUUUCUAGGCCGUAGUAAAAUUACUCAAAAGUAUAGGAACUGAUCUACAAUUCCAUCAUCAGAUCUGAAGGGAAACAGGACAUUGUGCUAUCUUUAAGAUUGCGUUGGGCUUAGGGCAUCUUGACCCAAGGAAAAGCCUCAAGAACAAGAGACGGGCUAACCCAUCACUUUGACCAAAUCAACCCAACCAAAAGGGGUGGGUUUCAACCUCUCAAAACCCAUACGAAACCCAAUAAAAUAAACAUAAGCCCAUUCCUAACGCCCAAAUAAAAUAGACCAGAUUUUAUACCAAAACCCAACUAAACAAACCUCAACCCAAACCUUCAACUAUUUUACAAAACCCAAUAAAAUAAUAAAUCUAUCAAAACUAUUAAACCCUAAAUUUCAUCCUAAAAUUCAUAAAUAAUCUGUUCAAAAAUCAUAUUAAAACAUGCUAAAGAAAAUUAAAAUUUAACGAGGCAAAAUUGACCGAUUGUUUUCGAUUUUCAUGCCACAGUAGGAUUAUUUAAAAAAUAGGGGCUAAAAUGCAAAUGUUUCAGAUUUGUUCAUGCAAGUUUGGGGCCAUGUAAGUUUUGAAAAUUUUAAUUUAUAGUAUGUAAAUAUCUAUAUAAAACAAAGUUGGUCUCCCCUAAUUUUUUACAAUUUUAUAUAUAUUUAUAAUUAAAGUUAAUAUUUGAUUUUUUUAGAUGUCAUAUAUUUAAAUGGAUGGAAAUUAUUUUAAACAUAGCAUAUUAAGAAAAUUUUGACCCCCUAGAAAAAAAUCCUGGUUCCGUCACUGUUCUUCUGCAACUUCCUGGGUUUCCAUCCAAGCGGUUAUUGUACCAUGAAAAGGGAAGAAAUCACAACAUGAUUUUAAGUGAACAGCCCAAAGUCAAAAUCUUUCUCAACUCCCUAGCAAAAAACAUCAAACGUCACUUGGCUCCUCAACCUUUGUCGGAGGAAACAAAUUCUGUGACCAAAGAAGAAUCGAAAGGGAAGGAACGAAGAGUAGCAAAUAUACGCAGCUAGAAAAAAUCUAAUCAAACCAUUCUCAUGCAUUGUUCUCCUCCUUUUUACAACGAAAGCAAAUAAUACAAGAAAAACACAAGUUUCAAUGGCUCAAAGCUACCCCACUCCAGAUUCAUGCAUAAAGGGAAGCAGACAACUCUCAUUCAUGGACUCCAGAUAAAACCCCGAAACAUAACUUUGCUUAUGAACUGCACGGCUUGCAAAGAUAAUCAAGGACAAGUAUUUACAUUAACUUCCAAAUCUUAUCCUUUUUUAGUCACACAAGAUACAUCAGACCCAGCAAAACCAUAUAACCCACACCAUAAGCUCAUGAAAGCAUAAUCUGAAAAGGGUUCUCUUUUGAUAAGUUAAAGAUUUUUCCUUUGUGGAUUGCAGCAAGCAAAGGAUAGAUUAAGAGUUACCUUCGAUGUUUACACACACAGAAAUUGAGAAAAGUGGGAUUCAAAGCUCAAAUCUGGAAGCCAGGAACUUUGCUGCAGAAACUUUAAGAAUGAUGAAGGUAGCAGGUUCAAGCCCGGAUUGGGAGAUGUUGCAGAGGUUUUUUCUAAGAAAUUCCAACACAAAAUCUUCUCCUUGAUCAACUUAGAUUUCUCAGAAAAAAAAAAUCUUCCCACGACAAGCUGUAGGGAGAUCGGAAUCAGGUGGGGAAUGAUGAAGGUAGCAGGUUCAAGCCCGGAUUGGGAGAUGUUGCAGAGGUUUUUUCUAAAAAAUUCCAACACAAAAUCUUCUCCUUGAUCAACUUAGAUUUCUCAGAAAAAAAAAAAUCUUCCCACGACAAGCUGUAGGGAGAUCGGAAUCAGGUGGGGAAUGUGACUAAAUCACCAACCCUGGCUCACAUUUUUUGCAAAGAAAAUUCUGCACUUUUUUCUUCCUUUUUUCUCUUGUUUUCUCUCUUUCUUUGCUUCCCUUUCUCCCUCUCUUUUCCUCUCCGCCGCCCCUAUCUACUCUCUUCUUGUUCUCCUUUUGCUGUGUUUUUCCUCAGUGUUUAUAUGGAACCCCAGCUCCCAAAACCCUCAUUUCAACGGUAGAUAUAGAGCUGGUUUUUAGUGGCUGAAUUGGAUCCCCUAGGUCUAUUUUUACAGCUGUUUUUCUUGAUAAGGAUCCACGGGUGAGGUGUCUAUUUGUACUGAGGGGCUUAAAUGGAAAGAAAAAAAGCAAAAAAAAUGUAGAAAUUAGACAAAAUGGCCGCUGC